GCCUGAGUGGCUCAGUCGGUUGAGUGACCGACUUCGGCUCAGGUCAUGAUCUCACAAUUUGUGGGUUCAAGCCCCGCGUCGGGCU
Transfer RNA from Felis catus (domestic cat), 85 nucleotides. It matches the Rfam family "tRNA". From Rfam's summary of the family: Transfer RNA (tRNA) molecules are approximately 80 nucleotides in length. Their secondary structure includes four short double-helical elements and three loops (D, anti-codon, and T loops). Further hydrogen bonds mediate the characteristic L-shaped molecular structure. tRNAs have two regions of fundamental functional importance: the anti-codon, which is responsible for specific mRNA codon recognition, and the 3' end, to which the tRNAs corresponding amino acid is attached (by aminoacyl-tRNA synthetases). tRNAs cope with the degeneracy of the genetic code in two manners: having more than one tRNA (with a specific anti-codon) for a particular amino acid; and 'wobble' base-pairing, i.e. permitting non-standard base-pairing at the 3rd anti-codon position. The record is from Rfam. NCBI's taxonomy places the organism in Eukaryota, Metazoa, Chordata, Mammalia, Carnivora, Felidae.